UUGAUCCUGGCUCAGAAUCAACGCUGGCGGCGUGCCUAACACAUGCAAGUCGAACGAGAAAGUGGAGCAAUCCAUGAGUACAGUGGCGUACGGGUGAGUUACACGUGACUACCUACCCUCGAGUGGGGAAUAACCUCGGGAAACCGGGGUUAAUACCGCAUAACAUCUACGGAUCAAAUGCGAAAGCAGCUUGAGGAGGUGGUCGCGGCCGAUUAGCUAGUUGGUGAGGUAAUGGCUCACCAAGGCAAUUAUCGGUAGCCGGCCUGAGAGGGCGCACGGCCACACUGGAACUGAAACACUGUCCAGACUCCUACGGGAGGCAGCAGUGGGGAAUUUUGCGCAAUGGGGGUAACCCUGACGCAGCAACGCCGCGUGGAGGAUGAAGCCCCUUGGGGUGUAUACUCCUUUCGAUCGGGACGAUUAUGACGGUACCGGAUGAAGAAGCACCGUCUAACUCUGUGCCAGCAGCCGCGGUAAUU
Molecule: ribosomal RNA, 479 nt
Filed under: uncultured Acidobacteriota bacterium
Lineage: Bacteria; Pseudomonadati; Acidobacteriota
Description: bacterial SSU rRNA
Rfam family: Bacterial small subunit ribosomal RNA
Source: RNAcentral